CAGUCUGCAUGGAGCCGACCUUGAAAUACCACCCUUUAAUGUUUGAUGUUCUAACGUGGACCCGUGAUCCGGGUUGCGGACAGUGUCUGGUGGGUAGUUUGACUGGGGCGGUCUCCUCCUAAAGAGUAACGGAGGAGCACGAAGGUUGGCUAAUCCUGGUCGGACAUCAGGAGGUUAGUGCAAUGGCAUAAGCCAGCUUGACUGCGAGCGUGACGGCGCGAGCAGGUGCGAAAGCAGGUCAUAGUGAUCCGGUGGUUCUGAAUGGAAGGGCCAUCGCUCAACGGAUAAAAGGUACUCCGGGGAUAACAGGCUGAUACCGCCCAAGAGUUCAUAUCGACGGCGGUGUUUGGCACCUCGAUGUCGGCUCAUCACAUCCUGGGGCUGAAGUAGGUCCCAAGGGUAUGGCUGUUCGCCAUUUAAAGUGGUACGCGAGCUGGGUUUAGAACGUCGUGAGACAGUUCGGUCCCUAUCUGCCGUGGGCGCUGGAGAACUGAGGGGGGCUGCUCCUAGUACGAGAGGACCGGAGUGGACGCAUCACUGGUGUUCGGGUUGUCAUGCCAAUGGCACUGCCCGGUAGCUAAAUGCGGAAGAGAUAAGUGCUGAAAGCAUCUAAGCACGAAACUUGCC
RNAcentral lists this ribosomal RNA (627 nucleotides) under Escherichia coli. RNAcentral describes it as "partial 23S ribosomal RNA". It matches the Rfam family "Bacterial large subunit ribosomal RNA", at positions 2172 to 2798 of the family's 2925-position model. The record is from RNAcentral. Lineage: Bacteria; Pseudomonadati; Pseudomonadota; Gammaproteobacteria; Enterobacterales; Enterobacteriaceae.